RNAcentral lists this ribosomal RNA (372 nucleotides) under uncultured organism. Its description in RNAcentral is "bacterial SSU rRNA". It matches the Rfam family "Bacterial small subunit ribosomal RNA", at positions 526 to 896 of the family's 1533-position model. The record is from RNAcentral.
CAGAGGGUGCGAGCGUUGUCCGGAAUCACUGGGCGUAAAGGGCGCGUGGGUGGCGGCCCAAGUCCAUGGUGAAAGCUCGAUGCUCAACAUCGAGUCGGCCACGGAUACUGGGUUGCUCGAGCACUGUAGAGGCAGAUGGAAUUCCGGGUGUAGCGGUGGAAUGCGUAGAGAUCCGGAAGAACACCGGUGGCGAAGGCGGUCUGCUGGGCAGUAGCUGACACUGAGGCGCGACAGCGUGGGGAGCAAACAGGAUUAGAUACCCUGGUAGUCCACGCCGUAAACGAUGGGCACUAGAUGCUUGGGGGAGCGACCCCCUGAGUGUCGUCGCUAACGCAGUAAGUGCCCCGCCUGGGGAGUACGGCCGCAAGGCUG